ACGAACGCUGGCGGCGUGCUUAACACAUGCAAGUCGAACGGAAAGGCCCUGCUUUUGUGGGGUGCUCGCGUGGCGAACGGGUGAGUAACACGUGAGUAGCCUGCCCUUGACUUUGGGAUAACUUCAGGAAACUGGGGCUAAUACCGGAUAGGAGCUCCUGCUGCAUGGUGGGGGUUGGAAAGUUUCGGCGGUUGGGGAUGGACUCGCGGCUUAUCAGCUUGUUGGUGGGGUAGUGGCUUACCAAGGCUUUGACGGGUAGCCGGCCUGAGAGGGUGACCGGCCACAUUGGGACUGAGAUACGGCCCAGACUCCUACGGGAGGCAGCAGUGGGGAAUAUUGCACAAUGGGCGGAAGCCUGAUGCAGCAACGCCGCGUGCGGGAUGACGGCCUUCGGGUUGUAAACCGCUUUCGCCUGUGACGAAGCGUGAGUGACGGUAAUGGGUAAAGAAGCACCGGCUAACUACGUG
This 467-nucleotide ribosomal RNA is filed under the name uncultured bacterium. RNAcentral's name for it is "partial 16S ribosomal RNA". It matches the Rfam family "Bacterial small subunit ribosomal RNA", at positions 29 to 507 of the family's 1533-position model. The record is from RNAcentral.